AGAAAGAUCUCACAGUAGUGAUGAAUCAAAGCUUCGUUAUCCUUCAACCAGAAAAAUAGGUUUAGUUCUUCAUAGAGAGAAGAGAAAAAUUAGAUCUAGGGUUUCUUUCUUUUUCUCCAAUCCAAAUCCUCUUUUUCACAAUAGAUUCCUCCCUUAAAUACUUUCUCUCUCUUCUCUUUUAGAAUUCUAUUUAAAAUAAAAUCCUAAUAUCUGAAAUAUUAAAUUCGUAAUUACAAAAAUAACCAAAAAUACAAAACACGUUAAACUAAAAACUGCAGGUCCGCAGUUGACAGCACGCGCCCACGCCUUAUCAACAAAGUUCUUCU
This 326-nucleotide long non-coding RNA is filed under the name Citrus sinensis (sweet orange). RNAcentral's name for it is "long non-coding RNA (CSIN_LNC004207)". Lineage: Eukaryota; Viridiplantae; Streptophyta; Magnoliopsida; Sapindales; Rutaceae. The record is from RNAcentral.